Molecule: ribosomal RNA, 480 nt
Filed under: uncultured bacterium
Lineage: Bacteria
Description: bacterial SSU rRNA
Rfam family: Bacterial small subunit ribosomal RNA
Source: RNAcentral
GACGAACGCUGGCGGCGUGCUUAACACAUGCAAGUCGAACGAGAAUCUGUGGAUCGAGGAUUCGUCCAAGUGAAGCAGAGGACAGUGGCGGACGGGUGAGUAACGCGUGAGGAACCUGCCUUUCAGAGGGGGACAACAGUUGGAAACGACUGCUAAUACCGCAUGAUACGUUUUAGGGGCAUCCCUGAGACGUCAAAGAUUUAUCGCUGAAAGAUGGCCUCGCGUCUGAUUAGCUGGUUGGUGAGGUAACGGCCCACCAAGGCGACGAUCAGUAGCCGGACUGAGAGGUUGACCGGCCACAUUGGGACUGAGAUACGGCCCAGACUCCUACGGGAGGCAGCAGUGGGGAAUAUUGGGCAAUGGGCGCAAGCCUGACCCAGCAACGCCGCGUGAAGGAAGAAGGCUUUCGGGUUGUAAACUUCUUUUAAGAGGGAAGAGCAGAAGACUGUACCUCUAGAAUAAGCCACGGCUAACUACGUG